RNAcentral lists this unclassified non-coding RNA (307 nucleotides) under Hevea brasiliensis (rubber tree). The record is from RNAcentral. Lineage: Eukaryota; Viridiplantae; Streptophyta; Magnoliopsida; Malpighiales; Euphorbiaceae.
GAGACUGAAGCUACCAAAUGGAGUAACAACAAGUGACCAAACACGAUAUUUGGCUAGUGCGAUAAGGAAAUAUGGUAAGGAUGGAUGUGCAGAUGUUACAACCAGGCAAAACUGGCAAAUACGUGGAGUGGAGCUGCCUGAUGUGCCUGAAAUACUCCAGGGUCUUGCUGAAGUUGGCUUCACAAGCCUGCAGAGUGGCAUGGACAAUGUGAGAAACCCAGUUGGAAAUCCUCUUGCAGGAAUUGACCCGGAUGAGAUUGUUGACACACGACCUUACACAAAUUUGUUAUCCCAAUUUAUCACUGGC